GAUCCCUGGUCCAUCGCCUGGCGUUUCCUCGUGUGGCGGGCCAUGUUCCCUCGCUUGAGUCCUGCGCGCCAAGCGCUCACACACUGCGGCCCAAAAUCUAGCGCGCAGGCCGAGUGUGGCGCGUUGCACAGAGUCCGGCACACGGCCCGCUCGAGAGAGCCUCGGAUGGUCACGGACAAGUCCAGUUCGAGUCCGGGGGGCUCGAGGACUCGAUGGUGAUUUGCCAUCGCAGUGGGACCCGCGCCUCCACUUCUGCGGUUCACUGGCUCUCUCCCCGCCCCCCAACCUCUGUACGGCUCUGUACGUGUUCGGGCAAUGGGUCCGGGUUCUGAUUCGAAUCUCUUCACGCAGUCAACAUUGUGGAUUUACGGAUCCAACCCAAGAAGCAAGAAACAGAAGGCAAAGUAUGUAACGGACCACGUGAGGAAAGGAAAACAUCCUUCACCUCGAACGCCUUUUUCCGCUGGUGACCAUCCACGGCUCAACUACCGUCGAUCCGUCUCUCCCAAGAUCUUUGGCAGUUGGCAAAGGAAACAGAGCUAGUGUUUGUCUAAGAAUUCCAGUUUCCGAUUGGUUGUUUUAUCAUUUUCUUAGCAUUGAAUUGGAUCCAGUUGUUUGGUGGAGAGCAGGUACCUGGGAUAUGGCUGGGCAGGAUUAUUCAGGAGGUACUUGGUGGUGCCUGCUGCUAUGUGGUGGCCUUUAAUCUUGUUCAAGUCUGUCUCUUCAGGGACUCCGUGGGAAGGAAAACAGGCCGAGGCACAGCUUGACUUGUAAACAGUUCUUGAUUGCCUUCGUCUGCAGCUUUGCAUACAAUAUGUUCCCCGGUUGGAAUUGUGCCGAUUGGACUUGAUUGGUCAUCUGUAUGUAUGUCUCUCUUUCUAUAUGUUCUCUUAGAAAAGGGACAGACCUAGGAUUAAGCGGACACAUGCUGGUGGAAGCUCACUCUCUUGUUUCUUAGUUUUGCUAGUAUGUCUUCUUGCUAAUGUUUGUGAUAUGAGACAAAGCAUCUUUCCAUUCUGCCUGUUUGAUGCCACAGGUCCACCAGAAGCAGGCCCUGAAUCUAGAAUUUUGGUUAGGACUGCCUUUUUCAAAAUGUGUUGUAGAUGGAGCAAUGACGUGAGUUCAACUUUUUAUUAUGUUCAAUGUUUUAACAAAGAAUUGGUGUAUAAUUGAAGUCACAUAAUCUCAUAAACAACAGAUAAUCCAGUGCAUUGCUAUUCAUAACAUAUUUUGGAUGAGAGUGGUGUUCUCUGGAUGAACUUAUUUGUUGCUCUAUCUCAAUUUUUCACAUUCCGACUGGCUUCUGUCACAUGAUCCAAUCUCUCGACAGGGUUAAGCAGUUGUUUUACAAGCUAGCAUCCGUUCAUGGAGAAAGUCUUAACUGAUGUAUCAGAUGUAUGAAGGGAUAUUCUCGCAUCAAAUGAGACCAACCGGUCUCAUGCUUUUGGGGACUGCACGCUACCAAACAAACUUUCUUUCGUUUCAAUUCCCUGAUCCUCAUAUAACUGCAAGUCAGUACAUAAGUUCAUAUGAAUUUUGCAGGACUUCAUUGAUACUCAUGAGCAUGGAUUCUAGUGCCACCCUGAAGCUCGGCCCUCUCAAGAUGCAUCGUGCGCGCGGCUAUGCGCGAAAAAGAUACAUGCUGAGACCCCAAAUGAUCGUCCAUGUGGUGAUAAAUAUCUGUUGCAGUUUCUUUUCUGUUGUGGUGCUGUAUACUUUGCAGAAUUUUCUUGGCUUACUCCUAAGCAUCAGAUGUAUCACUCCUAAUACAUAUUGUUAUCCAACAUCAUAUUUGUCACCAGGCGUUUCUCCCAAGUGUUUUAUUCUUCACUCAGUCAUUGCAUAUGGGUCGCAUAUGGAUUUAUAAGUUACUCGAAGCAUUGCCUUUGGGCUCUGGAUUCAAAUCCAUGCAGUCUUGUUGGAAUCGCAAUUGUAUGCACUGUUACCGCUGCAUGAACUCUAAACAUGAUAAAUCAUAUGCACUGUUAUUGCUGACAGAGGAUGGUCGAUGCAGCUUUAUUUCUAUCAGGUGGUGGGAACCUUUAUAUCGGCACUGGUGCACCUGGGAACCGCAUGGGGGCUCGUGAGCACCAUUGAAUGGGGUCUGAUUGGGCCUAGCACAAUCUUUAGUGACCUUGGAAACCAUACUACUUAGCAAUCAACUGGUUCCUCCUACUUGGCGCCAUUUGUCUCCUUGUCUGGCUUGCCCACAAGGCCUUUCCACGGCAGCAGUGAUCCGCUUUAUCGCCGUUUCUUGGAUUAUCCCCUGCUUGAUGCUCGCCUUGCAUAUAUGUUAGUGUUGUUACUUGGGUUGGGUUGGAUCUUGAUGCUCGCCUUACUUAUAUGGCAUUAUGCUCUCGCCCUCUCCAGGGAUCUUGAUGUGCUAGUGUUGUUACUUGUGUUGGGUUGCCACGAUUAUGCCCUCUCCAGGGAUCUUGAUGCUCAGUGUUGGGGUCUGAGGGUAUCAUGAUUCAUGACCCGUUGGUGGGGAUGCAAGUUGGAUGGAUGCUCGUUGACUUCUUGGUCAACCGCGAAGGGAUCAAGCAUAUCCCGGGCUUUCAUCUUCUUGGAACAUGCCGCUUGUGCUUAAUCACCACUUUGAACUAAUUGCGACGAUCUGGCGCCGCGCGACUCCUCAGAUGUUAAUAAAACGGGUAUUAUGUCAGUUUAGCCCUUGGACGUGCACGAACGGUGCUUCGCAGCCUCAAUCAAUCGUUGGAUCCGAAAACCUGCCGGUUCCCUCCCCUCGUAGUCCGCUUCGCGUUUGUUCUGGUGGCGGGGCACUCACGGCCAUGGACUCCCAGACCGACGGCGGCGGCGGAGGGGAUGACGUCACCACACUGAAGGAGAUGCGCCACCAGUUGGAAGACUCCAUCGAGGCCCGUCGGCAAGCCCAGCAGGACCUCAUCGUCUCCCUUCAGACCGUCGUCCCGGACCUCGUCUCCUCCCUCGACAUCUCCCUCCGCGUCAUCUCCGCCUUCAACCGCCGGCCCUUCUUCCCCACCCCCAACCCUAACCCUAACCCCAACACCCCCCCCUCCGAUUCCCCCCGCCCCCUCACCCCUCGCCGCCGCCCCCCUCUCCCCGACUCCCAUUCCCUUCCUCCCCGCACCCGUCCCAAGCCCUCCCCUGAGCCCCGCCGCGACCGCUCCUCUCCCGACGCCGACGGAGGCGGAUCCGGCGGCGGAUCCAGCGGCGGUGGCGACCACCUCUCGGUCGUCCGCACCAUGAUCGCCGUCUACCUCCUUGAGCUCAUCCCCUUCACCGAGAUCGACUCCGCCGCCCUGCUCCGCCGGCUCGAGGGCGACCAGUCCUCAGCCACCCCCGCCGAGAAGGCCGCCCUGGUCGAGCUCGGCGGGGAGCUCGGACCGAUCUCCGCUGUCGAGACGGCGCUCCGGCGGAUCGCCGAGGAGAGCGGCGGGGUGCAGCUGGAGGACUUCACGGUGAACGGGAAGUCUAUGUUGAUGAUUUGGGGUAUUGAUCGGAACAAGCUCCUCAAGGAGCUCCAAGAGUGCUCCUCCCAGAAUCAGCAGCCGCGGGAGGCGGAAGCCAGUUUCGCCGAUGGGAACAACCAGGGUCAGGGGCCGGGGAUGGGCGGAGUCGAUGGCGGCGUUGCGAUGAUGCCGAGGCCACCGCCAGAGAUGUGGAUGGGGCCUCCUGACCCUCAUUUAUCUGGCAUGUCUCCUAUGUUUCCACAGCCUGGCGCGCCGCCGCCCAUGGUCGGCCCAAGGGGCGGGCGGAGGGCUACGAGCUCGAUGGGGAUUCCGAGGAUGAUGGGCAUCCCUCCCCCCAACAGGCCUGUCAUGGGGCCUGGCGCUGCUAUGGGAAGCCCAAGUCCGGCGCCAUCGAACCAAAGGACUGAGGAGGAUGAGCUGAAGGACCUUGAGGCAUUGCUGAACAAGAAGACGUUCAGGGAAAUGCAAAAAUCGAAGACUGGAGAGGAACUUUUGGAUCUCAUUCACCGCCCGACUGCAAAGGAAACUGCUGUUGCGGCAAAGUUCAAGACCAAGGGUGGCUCUCAACUCAAAGAGUAUUGUACACAUUUAACUAAAGAAGAUUGCCGACGCCAAACUGGUUCAUUCAUUGCAUGUGAGAAGGUGCAUUUUCGGCGGAUUAUUGCUCCGCACACUGAUACAAAUUUAGGUGACUGCUCUUUUCUUGAUACAUGCCGUCACACAAAGACCUGCAAAUAUGUUCAUUAUGAACUUGACCAAACACCAGAUAUACCUCCAAUGAGAAUGGGUGCUACUAAUCUUCCACCUCCAAAACCAAUCAAGUCCCAAAGGGCCGAAUAUUGUUCAGAAGUGGAGCUUGGAGAACCUCAAUGGAUAAACUGUGACAUCCGUAACUUCAGAAUGGACAUUUUAGGGCAGUUUGGAGUUAUCAUGGCAGACCCACCUUGGGACAUUCACAUGGAAUUGCCAUAUGGUACAAUGUCAGAUGAUGAGAUGAGAAAUCUUAACGUACCUGCAUUGCAGACUGAUGGUCUGAUUUUUCUAUGGGUCACUGGGCGUGCAAUGGAACUUGGGCGUGAAUGUUUGGAGCUUUGGGGAUACAAGCGUGUUGAGGAGCUCAUAUGGGUGAAGACCAAUCAACUCCAACGAAUUAUUCGAACUGGACGCACUGGCCAUUGGCUUAAUCAUAGUAAAGAACAUUGUCUUGUUGGAAUAAAGGGAAACCCAGAGGUCAAUAGGAACAUUGAUACAGAUGUUAUUGUAGCUGAAGUUCGUGAAACAAGCCGAAAACCUGAUGAGAUGUACCCAAUGCUGGAGAGGAUAAGCCCCAGGACAAGGAAGUUGGAAUUGUUUGCUCGAAUGCACAAUACACAUGCUGGGUGGUUAUCCCUGGGUAAUCAAUUGCAAGGAGUCAGGUUAGUUGAUGAUGGUCUGAGAGCAAGGUUCAAGGCUGCUUAUCCAGAUGUGGAGGUACAACCAUCAUCUCCUUCCAGAACAACUUCUGCCAUGGAUGGGGAUUCAAACACCACACAAACUAGGAGCCCUUUUGUUGGGACAGACUCAAAACAAUCAUCGAGCCAAUUUAUGGAGCCAACACCACCCGCGGGCUAUUCCGGAGGAAAACCUAUGGGCGCAGAUUUUGAGACAUCUUCUUAAUAUCAGCACGUAUAGUUGGUUUGUUUUUGUCAUCGUGUGAUCUUAGCCUUUUUUCUCUGGGUGCAUGUUUCAUCAGCUAGUUGGCUGCCCUUUCUAGGAUACAGAAAAAGAUGUGAGCAGCUGGAUGCUUUCAUAAGGAGUGCUGCUGUGAUUGCCAGCUCCCAAAACCAGUCUCCCAAGGCAGUUUGGGACAUGAGUGACAGGCAGGCCCCAUAUACCAGCCCGACAGUCACCGCCUCCGGGUGCCGGGGGUGGGUCGCAGAGUAGUGCCGUCGAACAGGUAUCUGGCUGCAUGCUCCUGAUUCUGCUACCUUUCUGUGAAUUGCAACCGGCUGCCCUCAAAAACACCCUUGAUUGCUGCAAUUUAUCCCCUUACCGUGUGCGCCAUCGGAUAGAGGAUGGGAUAGCAUGGAUCUCAAAGUCUGUCCUGUAUUCCGGUGAGCUCCCGAGAAAGAAAUGCAGAUUCUACUUUGCUGCUGGACCUAAAAGGCAGUGCAAAGGCCAUGAAAGGACCUAUCACCGCGUGAAACAACUAAUUGGAUGCUCUAUCAUUUUCAAUGUUUAGAUAGAGUUUAGACUUUAUGUGGCCGCACGUUGUUGUUAUUAUGUUUUUCAAAGGACGUAUUAAAUAGAACCAUGGUGAUGGUCUUGGAUCGUCUA
Phoenix dactylifera (date palm) is the source of this 5771-nucleotide non-coding RNA. The record is from RefSeq and is a predicted model, not a curated record. NCBI's taxonomy places the organism in Eukaryota, Viridiplantae, Streptophyta, Magnoliopsida, Arecales, Arecaceae.